Molecule: ribosomal RNA, 460 nt
Filed under: uncultured bacterium
Lineage: Bacteria
Description: partial 16S ribosomal RNA
Rfam family: Bacterial small subunit ribosomal RNA
Source: RNAcentral
CCUACGGGUGGCAGCAGUGAGGAAUAUUGGUCAAUGGGCGCGAGCCUGAACCAGCCAAGUCGCGUGAGGGAAGACGGCACUACGUGUUGUAAACCUCUUCUGCCGGGGAGCAACGGGCGCCACGUGUGGCGCCACUGAGAGUACCCGGAGAACAAGCAUCGGCUAACACCGGGCCAGCAGCAGCGGUAAUACGGAGGAUGCGAGCGUUAUCCGGAUUUAUUGGGUGAAAGGGGUCCGUAGGCGGAGCGUUAAGUCAGCGGGCAAAUUGCGGGGCUCAACCCCUUCCCGCCAUUGAAACUGGCGCUCUUGAGUGGAAGAGAAGUAUGCGGAAUGCGUGGUGUAGCGGUGAAAUGCAUAGAUAUCACGCAGAACCCCGAUUGCGAAGGCAGCAUGCCGGCUUCCUACUGACGCUGAAGCACGAAAGCGUGGGGAUCGAACAGGAUUAGAUACCCGUGUAGUC